This 487-nucleotide ribosomal RNA is filed under the name uncultured bacterium. Its description in RNAcentral is "partial 16S ribosomal RNA". It matches the Rfam family "Bacterial small subunit ribosomal RNA", at positions 28 to 507 of the family's 1533-position model. The record is from RNAcentral.
GACGAACGCUGGCGGCGUGCUUAACACAUGCAAGUCGAACGAUGAAGAAGAGAAACGCGAACUUCGGUUCAAAUUUCACUUCGGAUUAGUGGCAGACGGGUGAGUAACGCGUGAGCAACCUACCUCUUACAAAGGGAUAGCCUCGGGAAACCGUGAUUAAUACCAUAUGACACAUUCAUAAGGCAUCUUAAGAAUGUUAAAGCUACGGCGGUAAGAGAUGGGCUCGCGUCCCAUUAGCUAGUUGGUGGGGUAACGGCCUACCAAGGCGACGACGGGUAACCGGCAGGAGAGGGUGACCGGACACAGUGGGACUGAGAGACGGCCCAGACUCCUACGGGAGGCAGCAGGGGGGAAUAUUGCACAAUGGGCGGAAGACUGAUGCAGCAACGCAGCGUGCGGGAUGACGGCCUUCGGGUUGUAAACCGCUUUCGCCUGUGACGAAGCGUGAGUGACGGUAAUGGGUAAAGAAGCACCGGCUAACUACGUG